CCCGGAGUGGUGGAAUUGGCAGACACAGGGGACUUAAAAUCCCCUGAGAGCAAUCUCGUACGGGUUCGAGUCCCGUCUCCGGGA
RNAcentral lists this transfer RNA (84 nucleotides) under Caudoviricetes sp. RNAcentral describes it as "tRNA-Leu". It matches the Rfam family "tRNA". From Rfam's summary of the family: Transfer RNA (tRNA) molecules are approximately 80 nucleotides in length. Their secondary structure includes four short double-helical elements and three loops (D, anti-codon, and T loops). Further hydrogen bonds mediate the characteristic L-shaped molecular structure. tRNAs have two regions of fundamental functional importance: the anti-codon, which is responsible for specific mRNA codon recognition, and the 3' end, to which the tRNAs corresponding amino acid is attached (by aminoacyl-tRNA synthetases). tRNAs cope with the degeneracy of the genetic code in two manners: having more than one tRNA (with a specific anti-codon) for a particular amino acid; and 'wobble' base-pairing, i.e. permitting non-standard base-pairing at the 3rd anti-codon position. Lineage: Duplodnaviria; Heunggongvirae; Uroviricota; Caudoviricetes. The record is from RNAcentral.